This 235-nucleotide unclassified non-coding RNA is filed under the name Hevea brasiliensis (rubber tree). The record is from RNAcentral. Lineage: Eukaryota; Viridiplantae; Streptophyta; Magnoliopsida; Malpighiales; Euphorbiaceae.
CAACCAUUUUUCACUGAAGAUGACGAUUCACCAAAAGCAGCCCUUAGAUAAGCAUCAACAAACACGAGCACGAGAGAAAGUUAUCUUUCUGGACGAGAUUCCGAAAGGAUUUCUGAUACACAAAGCUUUAGAUUCGAAUAUUCGAAACACUGUGUGUAUAUGGCAGCUGGAGCAUAUAACAAGGAGAUUGCAAGAAUGAUUGAUCGAAAGAGGUGGUGUUGAAAGAUGUGAGAAG